GCGAAGAACCUUACCUACUCUUGACAUCCAGAGAACUUAGCAGAGAUGCUUUGGUGCCUUCGGGAACUCUGAGACAGGUGCUGCAUGGCUGUCGUCAGCUCGUGUUGUGAAAUGUUGGGUUAAGUCCCGCAACGAGCGCAACCCUUAUCCUUGUUUGCCAGCGAGUAAUGUCGGGAACUCCAGGGAGACUGCCGGUGAUAAACCGGAGGAAGGUGGGGACGACGUCAAGUCAUCAUGGCCCUUACGAGYAGGGCUACACACGUGCUACAAUGGCGCAUACAGAGGGCGGCCAACUUGCGAAAGUGAGCGAAUCCCAAAAAGUGSGUSGUAGUCCGGAUUGGAGUCUGCAACUCGACUCCAUGAAGUCGGAAUCGCU
This 376-nucleotide ribosomal RNA is filed under the name Vibrio sp. RNAcentral describes it as "bacterial SSU rRNA". It matches the Rfam family "Bacterial small subunit ribosomal RNA", at positions 961 to 1336 of the family's 1533-position model. The record is from RNAcentral. Lineage: Bacteria; Pseudomonadati; Pseudomonadota; Gammaproteobacteria; Vibrionales; Vibrionaceae.